Molecule: non-coding RNA, 142 nt
Organism: Listeria floridensis FSL S10-1187
Lineage: Bacteria; Bacillati; Bacillota; Bacilli; Caryophanales; Listeriaceae
Source: Rfam
ACAAGAAAGAAGAAGCAACCCGCUUCUCGCCUCGUUAACAAUUGUUUUCAGGCAAAAAGUUCAAUGAUUCGUCACACCGGUCUGGCUGUGACUUUGAAUGUGCGGGUUUGCUUUUAUAGCAAACCCGUUUUUAUAUUGUCCG